UGAAAUUGGAGCACAUCCUAAAUAUGGCCGAAAAGGCUGCCGUCACUUGCCCUUAAAUUCCUUUAAUGAUUUGUUGCGCAACCUUAACCUUUACCAUCGAAAUAAUCACACUUCCAGAAAAUUAGCUCUUGCAUCAAUAUUUAACAACCUACCUUUCUCAAAAGUGAACUCUAUACUUUCAUCUCCAUUGGCUAUCUAAAUUAAUGCACAUUCUUCCAUAAUUUUGCUUAAAACUCGAAUAAACUCCGAAAUAAUCGGCUGCACAAUUUUUUCCCCAGAGGGGUCUUCUUUUUCUUCCUGUGUCUUCCAAAUUUUGCCGCUUCUUCUUCACAAACUUGGUCACUACAUUAUUUCCAUAAAUUUCUAAUGUUCCCCUGGUCGGACAGGCUUCAAACGAUUUCACUCAACUUAAUUUGUUCAAAUCUUCCGGAACACAACUUUUGAACCGACGAAAUCAAAAAUUUUCGAUCACAAUCUGCCGAUUUUCACUGAACCCGAGCAACCGAUUGAAAAAAGUGUUCUUUUCGCCGCCUCUGUACGUACACACCAAACUUUCUUAGUAUGUGUAAAUCCAUCAUUUCUAAAUGAACAUUUCAAAAAAACGUACUGAAACACAGCCUCUUUCACCGAAAUAAAUCAGAACAAGCCCUAUCCAAACAUUUAUCAAAGAAGAUGUAGAAAGUGUUGCCAGUCAAAUGUACGAGAUAAAACAAAACGAAUUUAAUAUUAGUAAAAAUAUACUUGUUGUUUUCGUAUUUAAUGAAAAAGGAACUUAUCAACUAACUUUGCAAGAAAACACAAUUUUGGUUAGCAAAAAGGAGCAUCUGAAACGAAAAAAAAAUCCGACAGUUGUAUUUUAGCCACACUCUAACUAGCAUCACUGGCACUGCCACCGCUGUCUUGUCAUGCGGCUGAGGUUAGAAAACAAAAACAAAACAUUCGUUAGCAAAACAAACCAGCUGCAGGGGAAUUAAAACCUGCAACCGUGUCCGCUUUGGUAUUUUCAAGCAGAGCAAGUCCCCGAAAAGUGUUCCGUCGUCAAGCGGCCAAGUGGCGUAGUCUUUUGUGGAUAUUCCGUGGGAAUCCCGACAAAGGACCCGAAGAACUCCAACCAAGCUGACCCUACCCGUCGGACGAUGACAAUUUGGAGAUGAUCGCCCGACUCUACGAAACAGUCGAAAGACCCGCCUGUUGGGAUGCACUUCCGGCGCCCUCUCCGAAUUUUGAAUUGCUGGACCACUGUCGGAGCGAAUUCCCUUUUGGAGUCCAAACGAUUUGAACGCGUUGGUUCCGGCGCUGCUGUUGAAGUUCAGCCAACUCAGCCAUUGGGCAUGGAUUUUACAAUCUGGAUUGGAACUGCUUUGUGGCCUGAGUCGAACUGGUCCACAUGGGUCCGGUGGUGCAACAGGCUGUUACGGAACAUUUUCGGCUGAAAAAGGUCAGUUCUUUGUGGACAAAAUCAUGGCGACAUGGGACCACCUUUGGGCCGUACUUUUGGUUAGCAUCAGCCGGAGCGUUUAAUCGGUUUGCCAGUGAAGUGCUCUUGGGAAGUACGACCAUUUUUGCGGAAUUUUUGGCGGAUCCUGUCGAACGAAAGUUUCGUCGGUUCAAGUCGCUUCCGGCACCGUGAAUCCGGUUUACCUUUCGGUGUGAGCCCAGAAAAGUGGCUGCUGAAACAGAGCGAUCGCAAAGAGCUAACCCCGCUUAGGAUCGUCGACGAGUUUGAGUGGUUCUGCUUUUUGGACGAUCGAUGUGGACAUUUUCGGGCGACGGUCGAGUACAUGGAGAAAAUCAGGGUGAUUAAACACAACACCGGCCGAUUCUUCGUGCAGACUUGCACGUCUGUAAAAUCCCGGCCUUCCGACGAGAACAAGUCGAGGAAAAUACACAAUAAAAUAUAAUUGCAACUGCCAAAUAAAAACUUUAUUAAAUUUUAACAAUGCGCCUCCCGGGGCUGGCCUCAGAUGAUUUUCUAGAGCAAUUGCGGGCCGAAUUAUAUCGCUCAGCGAAAGUUGUGCCCGCAGACCGUGAGCUAGGUAGUCGUAGGUACCGUCAACUGGGGCGAAUCGGGACACAUGAGGCGAAUUGGGGCAGAAGUUUUAACCAUGUUGGAGCACAAUAUUUUGAUUCAACAGAUUAAGUCCACCAAAAUGUGUAGAUCCAUUUCAAAAUGUGAAACCUUGAAGUGCUCUAAACACUACUGUCCCUAUUCAGACUGUAGUCCCGAUUUGCCACAGAUGACGGUACCUCUCCUUAAGAAUAGAACAUGAUUCCAUUUUAAAGUUAGGAUUUUUGAUUGCAGGGUAUUAUUUUUUAUGAUACAAUUUUGCAACGCAAUGUGAAUUUUCUUUUUUUUUUUUAAAUCAAUGUUUACAUUUUCCAUCUAACAAAACAAAAAUAUUGUGUUUGAUAAACAUUCCGUAAGCACACAAACACUAACACGGUGUGUGUUGGUAUUUGUGAUAGUCUUACCAACACAAGUAUACUGAUAAUGAUUAAUGAUUUCAAUGAUUAUUAUGAAGAAGAAGAAAAAUAAGAAGAAGCCCAAAUCGGAUUUGAAGGCAU
Molecule: long non-coding RNA, 2565 nt
Organism: Culex pipiens pallens (northern house mosquito)
Lineage: Eukaryota; Metazoa; Arthropoda; Insecta; Diptera; Culicidae
Exons: 3
Source: RefSeq, a predicted model, not a curated record